Argiope bruennichi is the source of this 1218-nucleotide long non-coding RNA. RefSeq lists it as uncharacterized. Lineage: Eukaryota; Metazoa; Arthropoda; Arachnida; Araneae; Araneidae. The record is from RefSeq and is a predicted model, not a curated record. The transcript is spliced from 3 exons.
UACCGUUAACGUUUUAUUACGAGUUUGAAUGAAACACUAAUACUUCGGUAGCUGCAUUAAAAUGAUGCUUUCGGUGCGGAGAAUUUUGAGUGAAUGACUGUACGAAACUGACUCAAAUGAUUUGCGUCUGGAGAUGCAGGAAGGUUCAAUAACCGUCCUUUAUUAUUAACAAAUAUCUGUUUAAAAGCGCCAUGAAGCAAGAGGGUGAAUAAACAUCCGCUAUUAUUAAUGACCGUUAAGUUCUGCUGAAAGAGGGCGUACAGCUUGUAUCCGAAUAAGGGUUAGAAUAGAAGAGGAAAAGCCCUUAGUUGCAUCUGAAUAUAUUUAUGAAGCAUCAGCUCUGUAACUGAGAGAGUAACAUGUUGAAAGAAAAGAAAAAUAAUAAUACGGCUAAAAUUUUAUCAUGCCGCAAGAAGGUUUUAAUUCCUGAAUUUGAUUUUCUUGAACAAAAAUGAACGUUAAACAUCAUUGGUCUUUUAUUUUCGAAUCAUCUGCUUCGAAAUGAAAUGUUAACAGAAGAUACUGCUUUGUGUUUGGUGGAAUAAGACCUUUUAUUGUAUACUUUGGAUAUUUGGAGAGUGGCAAAACCAUCAUAAUCGAUGUAUAUCAUCCUUGUGUGCAGAUAAUGUUUCGAAAACAAUGUUACUGAAAAAGAUAAUGUACUAAAAGCGUAUUUCAGUAACAAAAAUAAUAAAAGGAUCGUGAAGAAUAAGUUUAUCCAUUUACGGAAGUGUGUCAUGAAAAGCUGGAAUCCAAUAAAAUCGGAUGCUUUAAAAAAAGCCGUAAGGAAAAAGACGGAUAAGUCCUUAAACUCAGAAAUGAAACUCUCCAAUUUUCCCAAAAAGGAAUUCUCAAUGCGGAUAAGAGGCAUCUCCUUCAUACCCAGUAAUCAAGUCCAGUUAUGCUCAUAUCAAGCAAUUUCAAGUUACGCUCAUACCAUCGUCGAAUAUCCUGGUAUUUUUCCAAGUUGUUGAUUCUUAUUCCAGUUCAGGACAACCAAUGGAUAACGAAAAUGUCGAGCAGGACGCUUACUUAAGCACGUCAUUUCCAUUUGAACUUUAAUGCAUAAAGUAAGGUCGUAUGAUUUUAGAAUAUUUGCUUAUCAGAAUUGGCUGUAAGACAUCUAGGCGGUAAAUCUUUUCUACUCAUUCAGACUGCCUUGUGAUAUUAUUUUAAUGCAUUUUAAAAUUUUUCGAAUAGUUAAAAUUGUAUACGUGG